GCAUCGCCGUCUCGACUUUUACUAGGCGGCGCAGCCGAUUAGCGUUUAAACUUUGGGGUGUC
Molecule: small nuclear RNA, 62 nt
Filed under: Trypanosoma brucei
Lineage: Eukaryota; Euglenozoa; Kinetoplastea; Trypanosomatida; Trypanosomatidae
Also listed under: 1 other name
Description: U5 snRNA
Source: RNAcentral